GGUUAAGCGACUAAGCGUACACGGUGGAUGCCCUGGCAGUCAGAGGCGAUGAAGGGCGUGCUAAUCUGCGAUAAGCGCCGGUAAGGUGAUAUGAACCGUUAUAACCGGCGAUACCCGAAUGGGGAAACCCAGUGUGAUUCGUCACACUAUCAUUAACUGAAUCCAUAGGUUAAUGAGGCGAACCGGGGGAACUGAAACAUCUAAGUACCCCGAGGAAAAGAAAUCAACCGAGAUUCCCCCAGUAGCGGCGAGCGAACGGGGAGGAGCCCAGAGCCUGAAUCAGCAUGUGUGUUAGUGGAAGCGUCUGGAAAGGCGCGCGAUACAGGGUGACAGCCCCGUACACAAAAGCGCAUGUGCUGUGAGCUCGAUGAGUAGGGCGGGACACGUGGUAUCCUGUCUGAAUAUGGGGGGACCAUCCUCCAAGGCUAAAUACUCCUGACUGACCGAUAGUGAACCAGUACCGUGAGGGAAAGGCGAAAAGAACCCCGGCGAGGG
This 495-nucleotide ribosomal RNA is filed under the name Salmonella enterica. RNAcentral describes it as "partial 23S ribosomal RNA". It matches the Rfam family "Bacterial large subunit ribosomal RNA", at positions 1 to 535 of the family's 2925-position model. The record is from RNAcentral. Lineage: Bacteria; Pseudomonadati; Pseudomonadota; Gammaproteobacteria; Enterobacterales; Enterobacteriaceae.